Molecule: long non-coding RNA, 276 nt
Filed under: Ananas comosus (pineapple)
Lineage: Eukaryota; Viridiplantae; Streptophyta; Magnoliopsida; Poales; Bromeliaceae
Description: long non-coding RNA (ACOM_LNC044739)
Source: RNAcentral
GUUAAAAGGAAAAAUAUUUUUUCUACUCCUAAUUUAAGGAUAAAUAAAAAAAGUAUAUGAUGAUAGAAUGAUAUAUUUAAAAGGGUAAAAUAGUAAUUUUAUAGAAAUUACGGCUAAUCUUAAUAAUUCACUAAUAGAAUCUAAAUUUAGAGGUAUAUUUGAAAGAAUUUGAAACUUUAAAAUAUAUAUUUUUAUAUUAGCUUUUUAAGCAGGAUAAAUAAGAAAGCCUGAAAUUUUGUAAAGACGUAUAAAUAAUUGCCCAUAUAAAGUUUAGUU